This 76-nucleotide transfer RNA is filed under the name Gammaproteobacteria bacterium. RNAcentral describes it as "tRNA-Gly". It matches the Rfam family "tRNA". Rfam says of the family: Transfer RNA (tRNA) molecules are approximately 80 nucleotides in length. Their secondary structure includes four short double-helical elements and three loops (D, anti-codon, and T loops). RNAcentral also lists the same sequence under 5 other names. The record is from RNAcentral. Lineage: Bacteria; Pseudomonadati; Pseudomonadota; Gammaproteobacteria.
GCGGGAAUAGCUCAGUUGGUAGAGCGCAACCUUGCCAAGGUUGAGGUCGCGGGUUCGAGCCCCGUUUCCCGCUCCA